UGCCACGUCAUCAGCACCAAAAGCUAGUCACACAGAACAGCUUAGCUAGCAACGUCAACCCCGCAUUCAGAGCGCGGAGCUAUUUCGGAAAAGAAACAAGUAAGGUCAGAUGUGUCGUCCUCCUACACCCAACUUCCUGUCCUAGUCCCAGGAAGUUGUUAUGUUAUGCCAUUGGUCUUUGACGCUACUGAGUACUACGCAGAGGCUUGGAGGUACAGCUACAAGAGUACUGAAUUGAUGAGUACUGAAUCUACACAAGCAUAGUCCUGCUGUAACACACUGGAGUACCUGAGCUACUUAAAGUGAACACUCGUACAGAGACGCUAC
Long non-coding RNA from Sardina pilchardus (European sardine), 327 nucleotides. RefSeq lists it as uncharacterized. The record is from RefSeq and is a predicted model, not a curated record. The transcript is spliced from 4 exons. Lineage: Eukaryota; Metazoa; Chordata; Actinopteri; Clupeiformes; Clupeidae.